Molecule: ribosomal RNA, 406 nt
Filed under: uncultured bacterium
Lineage: Bacteria
Description: partial 16S ribosomal RNA
Rfam family: Bacterial small subunit ribosomal RNA
Source: RNAcentral
AUUGAACGCUGGCGGCAGGCCUAACACAUGCAAGUCGAACGAGUGGCGGACGGGUGAGUAAUGUCUGGGAAACUGCCUGAUGGAGGGGGAUAACUACUGGAAACGGUAGCUAAUACCGCAUACCCUCAGAUGUGCCCAGAUGUGAUUAGCUAGUUGGUGGGGUAACGGCUCACCAAGGCGACGAUCCCUAGCUGGGCUGAGAGGAUGACAAGCAAAACUGUAACUGAGACACGGUCCAGACUCCUAGGGGAGGCAGCAGUGGGGAAUAUUGCACAAUGGGCUCAAGCCUGAUGCAGCCAUGCCGCGUGUAGGAAGAAGGCCUUCGGGUUGUAAAGUACUUUCAGCGGGGAGGCUUUACCCGCAGAAGAAGCACCGGCUAACUCCGUGCCAGCAGCCGCGGUAAUUC